This 433-nucleotide ribosomal RNA is filed under the name uncultured bacterium. RNAcentral's name for it is "bacterial SSU rRNA". It matches the Rfam family "Bacterial small subunit ribosomal RNA", at positions 355 to 796 of the family's 1533-position model. The record is from RNAcentral.
UCGAGGAUCUUCGGCAAUGGGCGCAAGCCUGACCGAGCGACGCCGCGUGUGCGAUGAAGGCCUUCGGGUUGUAAAGCACUGUCGAGGGGGAGAAAAGCCGCAAGGCUUGAUCUAUCCCUGGAGGAAGCACGGGCUAAGUUCGUGCCAGCAGCCGCGGUAAGACGAACCGUGCAAACGUUGUUCGGAUUCACUGGGCUUAAAGGGCGCGUAGGCGGGCGGUCAAGUCAGGGGUGAAAUCCUCCAGCUCAACUGGAGAAGUGCCUCUGAUACUGACUGUCUUGAGGGAGGUAGGGGCAUGUGGAACUGCCGGUGGAGCGGUGAAAUGCGUAGAUAUCCGAAGGAACGCCGGUGGCGAAAGCGACGUGCUGGACCUCUUCUGACGCUGAGGCGCGAAAGCCAGGGGAGCAAACGGGAUUAGAUACCCCGGUAGUCC